This 458-nucleotide ribosomal RNA is filed under the name uncultured bacterium. RNAcentral's name for it is "partial 16S ribosomal RNA". It matches the Rfam family "Bacterial small subunit ribosomal RNA", at positions 28 to 507 of the family's 1533-position model. The record is from RNAcentral.
GACGAACGCUGGCGGCGUGCUUAACACAUGCAAGUCGAACGGUGAACCUCUUCGGAGGGGAUCAGGGGCGAACGGGUGAGUAACACGUGGGCAACCUGCCCCCGUCUCUGGGAUAACUCCAAGAAAUUGGGGCUAAUACCGGAUGUUCACCGCUUCCCGCAUGGGUGGUGGUGGAAAGGGUGUCCGGCGAGGGUUGGGCCCGCGGCCGAUUGGCUGGUGGGGGGGGUAAUGGCCUACCAAGGCGACGACCGGUAGGCGGGCUGAGAGGAUGACCAGCCACACUGGGACGGAGACCCGGCCCCCACUGGUGCGGGAGGGAGGGGUGGGGAAGAUUGGGCGAGGGGCGAAAGCCUGAUCAAGCAGUGCGGCGGGAGUGGUGAUGGCGUUAGGAAUGUAAUGCCCUUUUGCCCGGGAAGAUAAUGACGGUACCGGGAGAAGAAGCCCCGGCUAACUCCGUG